GCUCUGUUGUUAGGGAAGAACAAGUACCGUUCGAAUAGGGCGGUACCUUGACGGUACCUAACCAGAAAGCCACGGCUAACUACGUGCCAGCAGCCGCGGUAAUACGUAGGUGGCAAGCGUUGUCCGGAAUUAUUGGGCGUAAAGGGCUCGCAGGCGGUUUCUUAAGUCUGAUGUGAAAGCCCCCGGCUCAACCGGGGAGGGUCAUUGGAAACUGGGGAACUUGAGUGCAGAAGAGGAGAGUGGAAUUCCACGUGUAGCGGUGAAAUGCGUAGAGAUGUGGAGGAACACCAGUGGCGAAGGCGACUCUCUGGUCUGUAACUGACGCUGAGGAGCGAAAGCGUGGGGAGCGAACAGGAUUAGAUACCCUGGUAGUCCACGCCGUAAACGAUGAGUGCUAAGUGUUAGGGGGUUUCCGCCCCUUAGUGCUGCAGCUAACGCAUUAAGCACUCCGCCUGGGGAGUACGGUCGCAAGACUGAAACUCAAAGGAAUUGACGGGGGCCCGCACAAGCGGUGGAGCAUGUGGUUUAAUUCGAAGCAACGCGAAGAACCUUACCAGGUCUUGACAUCCUCUGACAAUCCUAGAGAUAGGACGUCCCCUUCGGGGGCAGAGUGACAGGUGGUGCAUGGUUGUCGUCAGCUCGUGUCGUGAGAUGUUGGGUUAAGUCCCGCAACGAGCGCAACCCUUGAUCUUAGUUGCCAGCAUUCAGUUGG
RNAcentral lists this ribosomal RNA (712 nucleotides) under Bacillus velezensis. RNAcentral's name for it is "bacterial SSU rRNA". It matches the Rfam family "Bacterial small subunit ribosomal RNA", at positions 430 to 1134 of the family's 1533-position model. The record is from RNAcentral. Lineage: Bacteria; Bacillati; Bacillota; Bacilli; Caryophanales; Bacillaceae.